UACGGGGGGGGCAAGCGUUGUUCGGAAUUACUGGGCGUAAAGGGCUCGUAGGUGGCCAACUAAGUCGGACGUGAAAUCCCUCAGCUUAACUGGGGAACUGCGUCCGAUACUGGAUGGCUCGAGUUUGGGAGAGGGAUGCGGAAUUCCAGGUGUAGCGGUGAAAUGCGUAGAUAUCUGGAGGAACACCGGUGGCGAAGGCGGAUCUCUGGGCCGAUACUGACGCUGAGGAGCGAAAGCGUGGGGAGCGAACAGG
Molecule: ribosomal RNA, 253 nt
Filed under: uncultured bacterium
Lineage: Bacteria
Description: partial 16S ribosomal RNA
Rfam family: Bacterial small subunit ribosomal RNA
Source: RNAcentral